GUACUUGCUUUGGCAGUACAUAUACUAAAAUUGGGACGAUACUGAAAUUUAGCAUGGCCCCUGCACAAGGAUGACAUGCAAAUUCAUGAAGCAUUCCAUAUUUAA
Small nuclear RNA from Octopus sinensis (East Asian common octopus), 105 nucleotides. Lineage: Eukaryota; Metazoa; Mollusca; Cephalopoda; Octopoda; Octopodidae. The record is from RefSeq and is a predicted model, not a curated record.